This 236-nucleotide ribosomal RNA is filed under the name uncultured bacterium. RNAcentral's name for it is "partial 16S ribosomal RNA". It matches the Rfam family "Bacterial small subunit ribosomal RNA", at positions 28 to 258 of the family's 1533-position model. The record is from RNAcentral.
GACGAACGCUGGCGGCGUGCUUAACACAUGCAAGUCGAGCGGUAAGGCCCUUUCGGGGUACGACGAGCGGCGAACGGGUGAGUAACACGUGGGUGACCUCGCCCUCCAGCUCUGGGAGUAAGCCGUCGGGAAACCGGGGUACUAAUACUGGAUAUGACUCCAUGACGCAUGUUGUGGGGUGGAAAGCCUUGUGCGGCUGAGGAUGGGCCCGCGGCCUAUCAGCUUGUUGGUGGGGU